AUUGAACGCUGGCGGCAUGCCUUACACAUGCAAGUCGAACGGUAACGGGCCUUCGGGUGCCGACGAGUGGCGAACGGGUGAGUAAUGCAUCGGAACGUACCUUUCAGUGGGGGAUAACGUAGCGAAAGUUACGCUAAUACCGCAUAUUCUGUGAGCAGGAAAGCAGGGGAUCGCAAGACCUUGCGCUGAUUGAGCGGCCGAUGUCAGAUUAGCUAGUUGGUGAGGUAAAGGCUCACCAAGGCGACGAUCUGUAGCGGGUCUGAGAGGAUGAUCCGCCACACUGGAACUGAGACACGGUCCAGACUCCUACGGGAGGCAGCAGUGGGGAAUUUUGGACAAUGGGGGCAACCCUGAUUCAGCCGUGCCGCGUGAGUGAAGAAGGCCUUCGGGUUGUAAAGCUCUUUCGGUCGGGAAGAAAUCGCAUGGGUUAAUACCCUGUGCGGAUGACGGUACCGGCAUAAGAAGCACCGGCUAACUACGUGCCAGCAGCCGCCGUAA
This 498-nucleotide ribosomal RNA is filed under the name uncultured bacterium. RNAcentral's name for it is "partial 16S ribosomal RNA". It matches the Rfam family "Bacterial small subunit ribosomal RNA", at positions 30 to 523 of the family's 1533-position model. The record is from RNAcentral.